CUACGUAGGGGGCGAGCGUUGUCCGGAAUUAUUGGGCGUAAGGGGUUCGUAGGCGGUUAUUUAAGUCAGGUGUGAAAGGCGCAGGCUCAACCUGUGUAAGCACUUGAAACUGGGUAACUUGAGUUAAGGAGAGGAAAGUGGAAUUCCUAGUGUAGCGGUGAAAUGCGUAGAUAUUAGGAGGAAUACCAGUGGCGAAGGCGACUUUCUGGACUUAUACUGACGCUGAGGAACGGAAGCGUGGGGAGCAAACAGGAUUAGAUACCCUGGUAGUCCACGCCGUAAACGAUGAGUGCUAGGUGUUGGGGGUCAAACCUCGGUGCCGCAGCUAACGCAUUAAGCACUCCGCCUGGGGAGUACGUACGCAAGUAUGAA
This 372-nucleotide ribosomal RNA is filed under the name uncultured bacterium. RNAcentral describes it as "bacterial SSU rRNA". It matches the Rfam family "Bacterial small subunit ribosomal RNA", at positions 523 to 898 of the family's 1533-position model. The record is from RNAcentral.